GCAACUCGACUACAUGAAGCUGGAAUCGCUAGUAAUCGCAGAUCAGAAUGCUGCGGUGAAUACGUUCCCGGGUCUUGUACACACCGCCCGUCACACCAUGGGAGUCGGAAAUGCCCGAAGCCGGUGACCCAACCAAAAGGAGGGAGCCGUCGAAGGCAGGUCUGAUAACUGGGGUGAAGUCGUAACAAGGUAAC
Molecule: ribosomal RNA, 194 nt
Filed under: uncultured bacterium
Lineage: Bacteria
Description: partial 16S ribosomal RNA
Rfam family: Bacterial small subunit ribosomal RNA
Source: RNAcentral